CGGCAGGAGCUGACCACCGUGUACGCCCAGGUGAACCCCUGCCAGAACGUCCCGAACGCGACAAGAGACAACCCGAGGGGGGAGAACUCCACAACCAUCUACGCCACGGUCAAGGCUCCAGCACAGACGGACGACGAGAAGAUGGGCAGCACCGUGCUGGGGGGGCAGGAGGUGGAGGAGAAGAGCAUCUACUCGCUGGUUGUGUGAAUGACCCCCCAUCUACUCACUGGUUGUGUGAAUGACCCCCCAGCUCGGCUCCAGCGCAGCUCCCCGGCC
This is a long non-coding RNA of Manacus vitellinus (golden-collared manakin), 276 nucleotides long. RefSeq lists it as uncharacterized. Lineage: Eukaryota; Metazoa; Chordata; Aves; Passeriformes; Pipridae. The record is from RefSeq and is a predicted model, not a curated record. The transcript has 3 exons.